CAACAAUAUAUAGUUGUUGCAGUUAAAAGCUCGUAGUUGAAUUUCUGGACUCGCCGAGAGGCGGCCUUUGGCCGACCACUCCGCAAGUUCAUCCUCGCCCUUCGGGGCGUCAUUUACUGUGAAAAAAUUAGAGUGUUUAAAGCAGGCUUUAGGCUUGAAUACAUUAGCAUGGAAUAAUGAGAUAGGACCAGGUCGUAUUUUGUUGGUUGCGCGAUUCGGUAAUGAUUAAUAGGGACAGUUGGGGGUAUUCAUAUUUAAUUGUCAGAGGUGAAAUUCUUAGAUUUAUUAAAGAUGAACUACUGCGAAAGCAUUUACCAAGGAUGUUUUCAUUAAUCAAGAACGAAAGUCAGGGGAUCGAAGAGGAUUAGAUACCCUCGUAGUCUUGACCAUAAACUAUGCCGACUCAGGAUUGGCACCCUUUUUUAACAGGGUGUCAGCACUGUAUGAAAAAUCAAAGUCUUUGGGUUCCGGGGGGAGUAUGGUCGCAAGGCUGAACUCAGGGGAAAAUGGGACGG
Molecule: ribosomal RNA, 515 nt
Filed under: eukaryotic picoplankton environmental sample
Lineage: Eukaryota
Description: SSU rRNA
Rfam family: Eukaryotic small subunit ribosomal RNA
Source: RNAcentral